This 247-nucleotide long non-coding RNA is filed under the name Gossypium raimondii (Peruvian cotton). Its description in RNAcentral is "long non-coding RNA (GRAI_LNC008812)". Lineage: Eukaryota; Viridiplantae; Streptophyta; Magnoliopsida; Malvales; Malvaceae. The record is from RNAcentral.
UCUAUAUUUUAACAUUUUUAUUGGGCCAAACCGAUCAAUCAAGCCCAAAAUUUUCUUAAGGCCAGACCCUAAACUCAUCCAAACCCAUAGGCAACUCUACUUUUAACUAACUUCUAGAUUUUACUUUGAUUUAUCAAGUAGGAAUAUGAAUAAAACUUUCAAAAAUAUUAAAAACAAAAAGAGACAAAAAUAAAAACCCACCUUUAAAAUAUAAAAUAUACGUAUAAAUACGAUCCAUAUACAGACA